CCUAAUAUUCUACCUUUAUCUAUUGGCACACUAAACGUCUAGAUACAAAUUCAGCUAUUUUUCUUUUCAUAUUGUUCCACCAAUAACUUUACUUAAUAGUUCGAUACAUCUUGGUACUUUCUGGAUGCAUGGCAUAAGCCGAACAAUGAGCUUCUUCUAUUAUCUGCUUCCUAAGAUCCUCUGCUUUUGGAACACAUACACGAUUCCCGUACAGC
RNAcentral lists this long non-coding RNA (215 nucleotides) under Elaeis guineensis (African oil palm). RNAcentral's name for it is "long non-coding RNA (EGUI_LNC046547)". Lineage: Eukaryota; Viridiplantae; Streptophyta; Magnoliopsida; Arecales; Arecaceae. The record is from RNAcentral.